RNAcentral lists this ribosomal RNA (450 nucleotides) under uncultured bacterium. RNAcentral's name for it is "bacterial SSU rRNA". It matches the Rfam family "Bacterial small subunit ribosomal RNA", at positions 45 to 529 of the family's 1533-position model. The record is from RNAcentral.
GGCCUAACACAUGCAAGUCGAACGAUAGUGAGAAGCUUGCUUCUCACAAAAGUGGCGCACGGGUGCGUAACGCGUGGGAAUCUGCCCCUUGGUUCGGAAUAACAGUUGGAAACGACUGCUAAUACCGGAUGAUGACGUAAGUCCAAAGAUUUAUCGCCGAGGGAUGAGCCCGCGUAGGAUUAGCUAGUUGGUGUGGUAAAGGCGCACCAAGGCGACGAUCCUUAGCUGGUCUGAGAGGAUGAUCAGCCUCACUGGGACUGAGACACGGCCCAGACUCCUACGGGAGGCAGCAGUGGGGAAUAUUGGACAAUGGGCGCAAGCCUGAUCCAGCCAUGCCGCGUGGAUGAUGAAGGCCCUAGGGUUGUAAAGUCCUUUCGGCGGGGAAGAUAAUGACGGUACCCGCAGAAGAAGCCCCGGCUAACUUCGUGCCAGCAGCCGCGGUAAUACGAA